GUUGGUUGAAAAUCAUCCGCAGACUUGCCGGUGGCCAUGGGUGAGAUUUGGCGCCAAAGUCAGCGGUCUCUCAUUUACCGCUCACACUUUGGUGAGGGGGAAUUGAAACCCACACCCGACAUGC
RNAcentral lists this small nucleolar RNA (124 nucleotides) under Sorex araneus (European shrew). Its description in RNAcentral is "Small nucleolar RNA ACA64 (ENSSARG00000019716.1)". It matches the Rfam family "Small nucleolar RNA ACA64". The record is from RNAcentral. Lineage: Eukaryota; Metazoa; Chordata; Mammalia; Eulipotyphla; Soricidae.